CCCUAGCGAACACGAAUGGACUUUCUCAUCUCUCUUCUUCCCUUGAAUCUUCCUCAAUUAACAAUAUUCAUAGAGCAAAUGCUACAAUCCUUUGCAACCAUCAUUUGCCAUCUUCACCACCACGUCGGUAAAGGUCCAUUGCAUAUUUUUUAUCAUUGUUCCCAAUAUCUCUAUUUUUUUAUUUUUAUAGGCCAUAUUUUAUGUGCAAAAUUUGCACUGUAUAAGAUCCACACCCAAGGAGAAGC
Molecule: long non-coding RNA, 245 nt
Filed under: Elaeis guineensis (African oil palm)
Lineage: Eukaryota; Viridiplantae; Streptophyta; Magnoliopsida; Arecales; Arecaceae
Description: long non-coding RNA (EGUI_LNC030993)
Source: RNAcentral